AUUUUCCCCUAAUAAACGUACGCGUGGACCCCACCACAAAAACCGUCUGUGACUCCGCAGAGGAAUGCUCGUUUCCCUCUCGGUGGUGUCUCUGAGCUCUAGGCUCCAGUCUUUGCUUCUCCCGGAAAAUACUAUUCCGUUUUUGGACGAUCGUCUUCGACAGUUCUUGCACGUGACGCUGUCCAUUCAAGUAAACGAGUAGAGGUUUAGACCGAUGAAUAUAUUCUGUGCAAGUGCGGGUUGAUGGCUGCCUUCGAUGAUCAAGAAUUUUUACGCCGCGAAUUUAAUAUUUCUUUGAAUUUUUACGUUAUAAAAGUGGUGAAAUUAUAAGGAAUUGUACUUAAAUUGGUGACGGUUGUGAUAGUAAUGGAUUCUUAAUACACGGUUUCAGUCCCCAUUUUUGGGUUACAAA
Molecule: non-coding RNA, 412 nt
Organism: Erythranthe guttata (spotted monkey flower)
Lineage: Eukaryota; Viridiplantae; Streptophyta; Magnoliopsida; Lamiales; Phrymaceae
Source: RefSeq, a predicted model, not a curated record